Molecule: ribosomal RNA, 433 nt
Filed under: uncultured bacterium
Lineage: Bacteria
Description: partial 16S ribosomal RNA
Rfam family: Bacterial small subunit ribosomal RNA
Source: RNAcentral
AACGAACGAGGGAGGAAGGAGGAACACAUGCAAGUCGAACGAGACCUUCGGGUCUAGUGGCGCACGGGUGCGUAACGCGUGGGAACCUGCCCUUAGGUUCGGAAUAACUCCCCGAAAGGGGUGCUAAUACCGGAUAAUGUCUUCGGACCAAAGAUUUAUCGCCUUUGGAUGGGCCCGCGUUGGAUUAGCUAGUUGGUAGGGUAAAAGCCUACCAAGGCGACGAUCCAUAGCUGGUCUGAGAGGAUGAUCAGCCACACUGGGACUGAGACACGGCCCAGCCUCCUACGGGAGGGAGCAGUGGGGAAUAUUGGGCGAUGGGCGAAAGCCUGAUCCAGCAAUGCCGCGUGAGUGAUGAAGGCCUUAGGGUUGUAAAGCUCUUUUACCCGGGAUGAUAAUGACGGUACCGGGAGAAUAAGCUCCGGCUAACUACGUG